Molecule: long non-coding RNA, 2284 nt
Organism: Xenopus laevis (African clawed frog)
Lineage: Eukaryota; Metazoa; Chordata; Amphibia; Anura; Pipidae
Exons: 2
Source: RefSeq, a predicted model, not a curated record
CCCAAGUUAAAGCAAAUCCCAGGCAAAGGGGAGGGAGUAGCUCUAUGUGAGAGAAACAGAAGCUUUCGCCAAAUCACAUACAACAUGCAUCCAGCCCCAUCGCUGCAGCUGCCACAUUUACAAAGAGUCUUUAUCAUCAGAGUCAGUGCUUACCAUUAGAGUACAUGAAUCUAGACAGGUUAGUCUUACACCUGAAAGGACAUUUGCUCUUCUUUCAGGAAGAUGAAGCUGUUUUGACUCCUAAUAGCUGACUUUACCCAGUUCUGGAGUAAAGAGUGAUAUCUUUGGGGACUAUUGUGAAGAAGUAUAUGCAUGCAAGGCAAAAAGUGUCUUGCUUAUUAAUUAUCUGGAUGGCUGCCGAUUAGGCAGAUUCUCUAGGGAUUUAAUUUUUUUUUUUUUCUUGAAUAUUGGCCCCCGAAAACCCAUGUCUGAAACCUGGAUCCCACAUAACUAUUGGAUAAUACCAUGGCAAUGCUAGGAAUUUGUUGCCGGGAAUGCUUAAAUUACAUUGAACACAUGCUGGGUCUUUUGCUGACAAAGUGAAGCUGAGCUAAUUCUCUGUUUGCCUGGACAAUGAGUUGGACAUUCCUGGCUGUGCUCAACCAACAAUGGAAAUAUGAGGAACUCAUUGCCAUCUGAGUAUUUUGGGAUGCUAUUCAUACCUUGAUGCUGUGUACGGUAAGACAGGACAGUGGUGCUUUGGAAGUCCUGACCAAAAUGGUCAUCACUGGUGGUGCUGAAGAUGACAAAGAAAGUCAAGAAAAGGAAAGCAAAGAAGAAAGUAUUCUAGCAAUGCUUGGGAUCAUUGGGACAAUACUGAAUUUGAUUGUAAUCAUUUUUGUCUACAUUUAUACAACAUUAUAAGCAGGAAUCAGGGGGGUCCCUCACGAGAUGUGGUUAUUGUAACCCAACCUGCCAUUUAACAUGAAACUUUAAAUAACUGCAGUGAAGUAAGCACAUAUGGUGGCAGAAUUGCAAUGAACUCAGCCUGAGAUUUAUUCAGGUACACUGGAUAAUGUCUUGGAAUAGUAUGGUUUCAACAUGUGAUUAUUGGGAGAUGUCAUGGACAGCAUUAUUUAUAAAAAGAGACAUUUGAUGAAAAUUCUAUGUUUUUUGUUUUACUUUUCCUUUAACUAAAACAAGCCUUUAAAAAAGACUUUACAUUUGCAUUUUAGCAUUAUGGACUGAAAUUAGGAGUGUUUUUUUCCUUUUUUCUUAUAGGUAUAUAUUUUUAUUCUAUUAAUUUUUAAUCUGCAUUUGAAAGAUCUGUAAUACUGUAUAUUUAGCAUGAGCAUAAAAAUCAGUUCAAUUUUUAAAUAGGAGAUCUUUCCGAAAUCUUUAAUGAUUGAUGGUACAAUGCCUAGAAUGUUUAUACAGUAUAAAAAAAAUCAUUUUUUACAUAUUAUUAUGUAUCUUUUGCACUCCCAGGGAAUGUCUGGGAUACUUUCUAUAUUUAGUUGCAGGACAACAUCAAUGGUUCCAUCAGUACUACAUGCUAACAAACAGAGACAGGACAGGACCCAGCAGUGCUAAUAAAUGACAAAUCCAAUUCUUUGGGAGAUAUCACAUGACAUGUAUCGAGUUAUAGUUCUUUUUCAAGUGGCACUUGAAAAAAGCGAUAUGCUUCGACACGUCUUUCAGUCCUGAUUCUGUAUAUUAGCAUUUGGAGUGAUACCUGCAAUGGGUUUUUAUGAGGUUUCAGGACCCAAUAUUUGAAUGUUUCAAGGAAUUCCACCUAUUUCUGCUGUUGGUUAUCAGUAUGCUUCCAAAAUCUGGACAACAUUUAUUAAAUGUGGCAAAAAAUGUCAUCUAAACAAUUUAACUUGAAGCUAAAGUAUGGUAAAAUAUAAGAUACCAGUGCAGUCUCAACAGAGAGUAAAUUGGAAUUAAUGCUGUUUAAUGAAGCACUGCGAAUAUAUGGUAGCAAUGUUACGUAUGUUUAAAUAUCCUCAUUUUUAUAGUGCUAUAUGAAUACACAAUGCUGGAAUUUUCGCCAUACAGUAAUAGCAACAAGAGGAACAAAUAUUGCAAAAAUAUAAAUGGACACAGUUGCAGAGAUAAAGUGACAUAGGAAAAGAGAUUUCCCCCUAUCUUGUACUAAGUACAGAAACAAAGAGCCAUUGUCAAAAAAAAAAACCCCAUUAAAUUAUCAUCAGUUUCACUAGCCAUAUUGUAGUAAUUACCAUUGAAAAUCAUUACAAUUAAAGCAGGAUUUCACUUGAAAACGAACUUAAAACGAUGUUGUUGAGAAUGCUGUUCUAAUACAAUUUACAGCUGAUGUUUU